RNAcentral lists this unclassified non-coding RNA (330 nucleotides) under soil metagenome. Its description in RNAcentral is "partial contains 5.8S ribosomal RNA, internal transcribed spacer 2, and large subunit ribosomal RNA". The stretch from base 1 to 120 matches the Rfam family "5.8S ribosomal RNA", at positions 35 to 154 of the family's 154-position model. The record is from RNAcentral.
GAUGAAGAACGCAGCGAAAUGCGAUAAGUAGUGUGAAUUGCAGAAUUCAGUGAAUCAUCGAAUCUUUGAACGCACAUUGCGCCCCUUGGUAUUCCAUGGGGCAUGCCUGUUCGAGCGUCAUUUGUACCCUCAAGCACAGCUUGGUCUUGGGCUUCGCCGCUAACCCGGCGGGUCUUAAAAUCAGUGGCGGUGCCGUCGGGCCCUGAGCGCAGUGAUCUCUCUCGCUAUAGGGUCCCGGCGGAUGCUGGCCAGUAACCCCCAAUUUUCUAUGGUUGACCUCGGAUCAGGUAGGGAUACCCGCUGAACUUAAGCAUAUCAAUAAGCGGAGGA